GACUUGAAAAAUCCGUUGGCUUUAUAGACCGUGAGG
Molecule: transfer RNA, 36 nt
Filed under: Pinus strobus (Eastern white pine)
Lineage: Eukaryota; Viridiplantae; Streptophyta; Pinopsida; Pinales; Pinaceae
Also listed under: 1 other name
Description: partial tRNA-Leu
Source: RNAcentral